RNAcentral lists this long non-coding RNA (364 nucleotides) under Elaeis guineensis (African oil palm). Its description in RNAcentral is "long non-coding RNA (EGUI_LNC019582)". The record is from RNAcentral. Lineage: Eukaryota; Viridiplantae; Streptophyta; Magnoliopsida; Arecales; Arecaceae.
CCCGUAGUUUAAAUGUUUGGCCGUUGGAAGCAUCAAAUGCAUCAAUACCCUUCCACAACUGUUUCAAUUCCUCUAUUAAAGGUUGUAGGAAAAUAUUAAUAUCAUUGCCUGGACCCUUAUCUCCUGGAAAAAUCAUUGACAAGAUAAGUGAUGAUUGUUUCAUGCACAUCUACGAUGGUAAAUUGUAAGGUAUCAAAAUGACUGGCCAAGUACUGUAGGUAGAACUCAGGGUCCAAAAUGGAUUGAAGCCAUCAGAAGCUAAGCCAAACCUAACACUGCGAACAUCAGAGGCAAAAUCAGGAUGCCUAUCAUCAAAUGCUUUCCAUUGAAGAUUAUCUGCUGGAUGUCUCAACAUUCCAUCCUU